Molecule: long non-coding RNA, 1344 nt
Organism: Musa acuminata AAA Group (dessert banana)
Lineage: Eukaryota; Viridiplantae; Streptophyta; Magnoliopsida; Zingiberales; Musaceae
Exons: 2
Source: RefSeq, a predicted model, not a curated record
GUGGGUGACGUCGGGGAGAAGAAGGGGAGGAAGGAGAAGAAGAGAAGAAGAAGAAAGGAAGGAAAAGGAAGAGGAGAAGGGAAGAAAGUAGCUGCGGCUGCGGUUGUGGCAGCUGCAGCUGUGGCAGGGAAAGAAGAAGAGAAAGGAAGAAGGGGAGGAGAGGAAGAAGAGUAGGGGCUGCGGCUGCGGCGAUGGCAGCUGCAGUUGGAAGAGAAGAAGGAGAGGAAGAUGAGCAGGGGAGGAAGAAAAGGCUGUGGCCGUGGCUGAGGCUGCGACUGCAGCAUGCAGCUGGGAAAGAAGAGAAGGAAAGGAAGAAGAAGAGAAAGGAAGAAGGGAAGGAGAGGAAGAAGAGAAGGGGCUGCGGCUGCGGCGAUGGCAGCUGCAGUUGGAAGAGAAGAAGGAGAGGAAGAUGAGCAGGGGAGGAAGAAAAGGCUGUGGCCGUGGCUGAGGCUGCGACUGCAGCAUGUAGCUGGGAAAGAAGAGAAGGAAAGGAAGAAGAAGAGAAAGGAAGAAGGGAAGGAGAGGAAGAAGAGAAGGGGCUACGGCUGCGGCGAUGGCAGCUGCAGUUGGAAGAGAAGAAGGAGAGGAAGAUGAGCAGGGGAGGAAGAAGAGGCUGCGAGUGUGGUGGCUGCGGCCGUGGCUGCGACUCCGGCUGCGGCUGCAACGUUGGCUGCGGUAGCUGCGGCAGCGGUGGUGGCUGCAGUAGCUGCUUUUGGGAAAGAGAAAGAGUAGGAACGAGAGAAGGGAAGAAGGAAAUAGUGCAGUGGAAGGGGGCUGCGGUUGUGACCGCAGUUGCGGUUGUGGCUGCGAUUGUGGCAGCGACAGCGGCGACGGCUGUGGCAGCUGCGUUUGGGAAAGAAAAAAGAAGGAAUGAGAGUAAGAGAGAGCAGGUGACUGUGCCUCGAUGUUCGACACGUGAUGUAGUUGCGAAGAAAGGAAGAAAACGGGAGCACAAAACGAAACAGAGAGAGGACACGGAGAAAAAGUAGAAGGAUUUGGGCUGGCACCUUCUUUGGAUCUUCGGAUCGAAAUCUUUGAAAGGUCAGCUUGUCACUCUUCGAGAUGUUUGAUUUGGGCUGAGGCAGUGGAUAGCUAUUCAGAAUAAUGGGCAAGUCUGGUUGGUUAUUACGAUAUUGUUGUAUAAGUAUGUCUUGUAUGUAAUGAAAUGUUGUCGAUGAACCGAAAUGGAUAUACUGUGUCAAAGUGUUAGGAGAUCUCUCUUAUUUGGAAUUUCAGAAUGUUAAGUCUAAUUUAUGGUGAUAUGAACUUGUGGUGAAUAGUUGGAGUUCUGAUUGUAUAAUUUAUUUAGCUUGUGGAUUUAUAAAUGUUGUUCAUGUUUGUCAA